This 446-nucleotide ribosomal RNA is filed under the name uncultured soil bacterium. RNAcentral's name for it is "bacterial SSU rRNA". It matches the Rfam family "Bacterial small subunit ribosomal RNA", at positions 26 to 518 of the family's 1533-position model. The record is from RNAcentral.
AGAACGAACGCUGGCGGCAUGCCUAACACAUGCAAGUCGAACGAGACCUUCGGGUCUAGUGGCGCACGGGUGCGUAACGCGUGGGAACCUGCCUUUAGGUUCGGAAUAACUCAGAGAAAUUUGAGCUAAUACCGGAUAAUGUCUUCGGACCAAAGAUUUAUCGCCUUUAGAUGGGCCCGCGUAGGAUUAGCUUGUUGGUGGGGUAAUGGCCUACCAAGGCGACGAUCCUUAGCUGGUCUGAGAGGAUGAUCAGCCACACUGGGACUGAGACACGGCCCAGACUCCUACGGGAGGCAGCAGUGGGGAAUAUUGGACAAUGGGCGAAAGGCCUGAUCCAGCAAUGCCGCGUGAGUGAUGAAGGCCUUAGGGUUGUAAAGCUCUUUUACCCGGGAUGAUAAUGACAGUACCGGAGAAUAAGCUCCGGCUAACUCCGCGCCAGCAGCCGC